RNAcentral lists this ribosomal RNA (433 nucleotides) under uncultured bacterium. RNAcentral describes it as "partial 16S ribosomal RNA". It matches the Rfam family "Bacterial small subunit ribosomal RNA", at positions 29 to 507 of the family's 1533-position model. The record is from RNAcentral.
AACGAACGCUGGCGGCAUGCCUAAUACAUGCAAGUCGAACGAGAUCUUCGGAUCUAGUGGCGCACGGGUGCGUAACGCGUGGGAAUCUGCCCUUGGGUUCGGAAUAACUUCUGGAAACGGAAGCUAAUACCGGCUGAUGACGUAAGUCCAAAGAUUUAUCGCCCAAGGAUGAGCCCGCGUAGGAUUAGCUAGUUGGUGGGGUAAAGGCCCACCAAGGCGACGAUCCUUAGCUGGUCUGAGAGGAUGAUCAGCCACACUGGGACUGAGACACGGCCCAGACUCCUACGGGAGGCAGCAGUAGGGAAUAUUGGACAAUGGGGGAAACCCUGAUCCAGCAAUGCCGCGUGAGUGAUGAAGGCCUUAGGGUUGUAAAGCUCUUUUACCCGGGAUGAUAAUGACAGUACCGGGAGAAUAAGCUCCGGCUAACUCCGUG